UAACAAGGAUUCCCUCAGUAACGGCGAGUGAAGCGGGAAGAGCUCAAAUUUGUAAUCUGGCGGUCUCGCGGCCGUCCGAGUUGUAAUCUGGAGAAGCGUUUUCAGUGCCGGCCCGCGUACAAGUCCCCUGGAACGGGGCGUCGUAGAGGGUGAGAAUCCCGUCUCUGACGCGGUAUGCCGGUACGUUGCGAUGCGCUCUCGAAGAGUCGAGUUGUUUGGGAAUGCAGCUCAAAACGGGUGGUAAAUUCCAUCUAAAGCUAAAUACUGGCGAAAGACCGAUAGCGAACAAGUACCGUGAGGGAAAGAUGAAAAGCACUUUGGAAAGAGAGUCAAACAGUACGUGAAAUUGUUGAAAGGGAAACGCUUGAAGUCAGUCGCGUCUCCCGGGACUCAGUCGGUCUUCCCGGCCGACGUAUUUCCCGGGUUCGGACGGGCCAGCGUCGAUUCAGACCGUCGUAAAAAGUCGGAGGGAAAGUGGCACCUUCGGGUGUGUUAUAGCCCCCCGUUCGGUAUGCGACGGCCUGGAUCGAGGGACGCAGCGCGCCCCCCCUCGGGGGGAGCCGGGGUUUUUAACCCACGUAACGCGCUUAGGAUGCUGGCUUAAUGGCUUCAAGCGACCCGUCUU
This 625-nucleotide ribosomal RNA is filed under the name Mutinus caninus. RNAcentral describes it as "eukaryotic LSU rRNA". It matches the Rfam family "Eukaryotic large subunit ribosomal RNA", at positions 66 to 655 of the family's 3401-position model. Lineage: Eukaryota; Fungi; Basidiomycota; Agaricomycetes; Phallales; Phallaceae. The record is from RNAcentral.